ACAGAUUGUUUUCCAGAACAUUCAACAGGACAAGUGAACGCCUUAGGGACGAUGGAAACAUUUACGGAGCAGAUAUUGUUUUUUAAAUAUUCCCUCUCUCUUACCACUCCCACUCUUCCAAAUAUAUAAUGGUCAGUCCCGCCGGCCUUCGGCAAAAUUAACACAAUCCAUCAAAUAAUAUCUAUGUACUUUGAAAAAUAAGAGGCAUCUUGUUUAUGUACUUUGCUCUGUUCCAGAACAAGCCAUCUCUCCAGCCGUACCUGCUGUGACUCUACCCACUACCCCGCAGCCCGAGUCUAGCAAUAUUUUCUUGUGUCUUGUGCAUGCAGGAAGCUCAGUUAUCCGGUACACGCCUGCGGACACAAACCACUUAACUGUCUACACGAAGAAGCCGGUUUCUACUCAGAAAGAGUCUGCCUCAACGACACUGGUUGUCAGCAGAGGAUCAUACACAUCACUUUGGAGCCUUUGAACCAUUUCAACAACGACGGCCCUCGCACCAAUCACCACCUGAUGACACUCGAUACCCAUUGUUUAACUAGAUUGACGGAUUAAAAUAUUCGUAGGACGACGACCUCACUUUUUGCUAGUUUGUCUUCAUACGACACAGGGGGUCGUCGUCAUGAGAAUGAACCGUAGAUGAUA
RNAcentral lists this long non-coding RNA (645 nucleotides) under Haliotis rufescens (red abalone). RNAcentral describes it as "uncharacterized LOC124117436, transcript variant X1". Lineage: Eukaryota; Metazoa; Mollusca; Gastropoda; Lepetellida; Haliotidae. The record is from RNAcentral.